RNAcentral lists this ribosomal RNA (497 nucleotides) under uncultured bacterium. Its description in RNAcentral is "partial 16S ribosomal RNA". It matches the Rfam family "Bacterial small subunit ribosomal RNA", at positions 28 to 507 of the family's 1533-position model. The record is from RNAcentral.
GAUGAACGCUGGCGGCGUGCCUAAUACAUGCAAGUCGAGCGAACAGACGAGGAGCUUGCUCCUCUGACGUUAGCGGCGGACGGGUGAGUAACACGUGGAUAACCUACCUAUAAGACUGGGAUAACUUCGGGAAACCGGAGCUAAUACCGGAUAAUAUAUUGAACCGCAUGGUUCAAUAGUGAAAGACGGUUUUGCUGUCACUUGUAGAUGGAUCCGCGCCGCAUUAGCUAGUUGGUAAGCUAACGGCUUACCAAGGCGACGAUGCGUAGCCGACCUGAGCGGGUGAUCGGCGACACUGGAACUGAGACACGGUCCAGACUCCUACGGGAGGCAGCAGUAGGGAAUCUGCCGCAAUGGGCGAAAGCCUGACGGAGCAACGCCGCGUGAGUGAUGAAGGUCUUCGGAUCGUAAAACUCUGUAAUUAGGGAAGAACAAAUGUGUAAGUAACUAUGCACGUCUUGACGGUACCUAAUCAGAAAGCCACGGCUAACUACGUG